This is a long non-coding RNA of Panonychus citri (citrus red mite), 2010 nucleotides long. RefSeq lists it as uncharacterized. The record is from RefSeq and is a predicted model, not a curated record. The transcript is spliced from 3 exons. NCBI's taxonomy places the organism in Eukaryota, Metazoa, Arthropoda, Arachnida, Trombidiformes, Tetranychidae.
AGUAUGGAUUCAUUUGAUUCGAUGGUAUCGAUCAUUCCAAUUGGCAACCAUUAGAUUCAAAUUGUUAAUUAGAAAUUAGCAAUUUGUAAUUAAGUAAAUUGUUCAAGAUUACUGAUGGAGCUAAUUGCUAUUCAAUUAAUCAGGAGAAUUUUUUUCAAUGGCAAUCGGUUGGAAGACUUGAUUAAGAAUCUAGAAGUUUGGAUGGUUACAAAAUACUGAUUAGAAUGGAAUAAAGAUCAGCUUUGUGAAUGAUGGCAAUUUCUUACCAGUUGUACUAUAAAAGGAUCACCUCAAUUUAGUAACUUAUAGUAAGCGUCGUAAUUAUGAUUAGAAUCUAAUCAUUAGAUUAAUUUCUAGAUGAGAGGCCGGAGAUAAGCUGUUGUCACCUUAAUUGUGGUAAACAUAAAUAAACUCAUUGAUUCGUUCAUUGGUUGUACAACAUAAACUCAAGACCUUAUUAUUUUGGCCCAUCAACAAUCAACAGCAGUUAACAAAAAAAAAGAGUCAAUUGUUAUUAGUGUGUUUAAAAAAUGAUACUAAUUUCAAUUGUUAACAUGAUGAAGUGAAUUAAUUUUCUAUAUGAAAAAAAGCGUUUCCAAUGUUUCUCUUGGCUGUUGAUUCAAAUUUUCAUUGAAAUUGUCACAAGAGGGAAAAGAAAGAAAUGUUUUGAUGAUGAUCAUCAUCAUUGUGUCCAACUAACAGUUUUCUUUUUUAUCAUCAUCAUCCUUUUCACGGUAAACCAUUUAAAUUAAAUGAUACUUAUCGUUAUUAGUUACACGCUGAUUUCCAUAGACAACAACAACAACAACAAGAUAACAAACUACAUCAACAAUUACAAUGAGAGGACAGUAACAUGAUUCACGGGAUGAGGAUGAUGAUCAACCAGAGAGACGCAUCAUCAGAAUGGGAUGGAUACAAGGAGUCACAGUGAGUCUUUUGUUAACAGGGACUAAUAACAAGAGAUACAGAGACGGAGAAAGAAGGAGAAGAAGAUUAAGAAGACAGAGAAAACGAUAAUAAUGAUGACGAUGAAAGAGACAACAUUUAACUAGCAAAAUUAACGUCAACAAGGUUGGGUGAAGAGAGAGAGAGAGAGCAAGAGAGCAAGAGAAAGAGAUGAGGAUGACAAAAAUGAUUGAAAAAAGAUACAUUGGAAACCAUUACAAUUUAAACUCUUCCUUUUCCUCAUCUCUAUCAAUUGGUUCCACUCAGUUUACCUUUUUUUUGCAGAUCAAUGAAAAGCUCAGGACAAUAGGUGAUUAACUUGAUUGGAUGAUAUUUAUAACAAUGUGUAAAUAUACAGAGUGUUUGUGUAUAUGCAGAUUCACCUUUGAAAGAUAAAGAAAGAGAAAAAAGAAAGUUACCACCAGUCUUUGUAUCAUCAUCGACAUCAUAAUGAUCAUGGUCAUUUUUAUCAUCAUUUGCAUCCUCAUCUUCAUCAUCUUCACAUUAUAAUAGAUUAACAUUAUAAAUGCUUGUAAAAAAAGCCCAUCCAAACACCCAUACAACUACAAUAAUAAGAUAAUAAUAUAAUGAUGAUGAGGAUGGAUAACAAUGGAUUGUGAUUAUGACUCUUUGAGUAACUUGAUAUUGGUCAAUUCAAGGUAACAAUACAAUCAACGACAAUAAGUGAGAGAGAGGAAGAUGAAAAAGAGAUCUCUCUUUUUUCAUUGGCACUUCGAGGGUAAUCGGCCAUUCGACUUAUCAUCAUAUUGUACUCGAAGAGAAAAAAAGAAAGAGGAGAAAAUUUUCUCUUCAUCAUCUACAUCAUCUUCUUCCUCAUCACAUUAUCAUCUUCCUAUGUGUUUACCAUAACUAACUAGUUUAAAGUGAGUUUAUUGUUAUUAUUAUGAUAAAUCAUUGGCACUUAAUGAUAAUUCAAUGGAUACACACUAAGGUGCUAAGGAACCCGAAAUUAUCAUCAUUAUUAAUCAAUAUUAUUACGUUAACUAUUUAUUGUUAUUGUCAUUGAAUUGAUCAUUAAAUGAUCAAGUAUCUACUUUACCUCAA